UGGCUCAGUGGACAGAGCGUUGGCCUGCAGACUAAAUAGUCCCGGGUUCAAUUCCCGG
Molecule: non-coding RNA, 58 nt
Organism: Myotis davidii
Lineage: Eukaryota; Metazoa; Chordata; Mammalia; Chiroptera; Vespertilionidae
Source: Rfam